This 463-nucleotide ribosomal RNA is filed under the name Clavibacter michiganensis subsp. insidiosus. RNAcentral describes it as "bacterial SSU rRNA". It matches the Rfam family "Bacterial small subunit ribosomal RNA", at positions 9 to 483 of the family's 1533-position model. Lineage: Bacteria; Bacillati; Actinomycetota; Actinomycetes; Micrococcales; Microbacteriaceae. The record is from RNAcentral.
GAGUUUGAUCCUGGCUCAGGACGAACGCUGGCGGCGUGCUUAACACAUGCAAGUCGAACGGUGAUGUCAGAGCUUGCUCUGGCGGAUCAGUGGCGAACGGGUGAGUAACACGUGAGUAACCUGCCCCCGACUCUGGGAUAACUGCUAGAAAUGGUAGCUAAUACCGGAUAUGACGACUGGCCGCAUGGUCUGGUCGUGGAAAGAAUUUCGGUUGGGGAUGGACUCGCGGCCUAUCAGGUUGUUGGUGAGGUAAUGGCUCACCAAGCCUACGACGGGUAGCCGGCCUGAGAGGGUGACCGGCCACACUGGGACUGAGACACGGCCCAGACUCCUACGGGAGGCAGCAGUGGGGAAUAUUGCACAAUGGGCGCAAGCCUGAUGCAGCAACGCCGCGUGAGGGAUGACGGCCUUCGGGUUGUAAACCUCUUUUAGUAGGGAAGAAGCGAAAGUGACGGUACCUGCA